Molecule: ribosomal RNA, 497 nt
Filed under: uncultured bacterium
Lineage: Bacteria
Description: partial 16S ribosomal RNA
Rfam family: Bacterial small subunit ribosomal RNA
Source: RNAcentral
GACGAACGCUGGCGGCGUGCCUAAUACAUGCAAGUUGAGCGCUGAAGGUUGGUACUUGUGCCAACUGGAUGAGCAGCGAACGGGUGAGUAACGCGUGGGGAAUCUGCCUUUGAGCGGGGGACAACAUUUGGAAACGAAUGCUAAUACCGCAUAAAAACUUUAAACACAAGUUUUAAGUUUGAAAGAUGCAAUUGCAUCACUCAAAGAUGAUCCCGCGUUGUAUUAGCUAGUUGGUGAGGUAAAGGCUCACCAAGGCGAUGAUACAUAGCCGACCUGAGAGGGUGAUCGGCCACAUUGGGACUGAGACACGGCCCAAACGCCUACGGGAGGCAGCAGUAGGGAAUCUUCGGCAAUGGACGAAAGUCUGACCGAGCAACGCCGCGUGAGGGAAGAAGGUUUUCGGAUCGUAAAACUCUGUUGGUAGAGAAGAACGUUGGUGAGAGUGGAAAGCUCAUCAAGUGACGGUAACUACCCAGAAAGGGACGGCUAACUACGUG